Molecule: long non-coding RNA, 216 nt
Organism: Prionailurus viverrinus (fishing cat)
Lineage: Eukaryota; Metazoa; Chordata; Mammalia; Carnivora; Felidae
Exons: 3
Source: RefSeq, a predicted model, not a curated record
CAGAUUUCAGUGACAUCCUCAAAAAACAAGGAAAGUCCAGUAUCUCUCUCACUCUGAUGUGGUUCAUCCCCAAGCAAUGCUUCUUCCUAUGGACUAAAAAUGAAAGCAAGUCAAAUAUGGAGAAAGAUUCUAGGAAACCUUCAACUUUUGUUUCUAGGUACCUUUGAUCUAAAGACAGGACUGUCAUCUCCUGUUUCCAUUAUAACUAUAUCAGAA